RNAcentral lists this ribosomal RNA (550 nucleotides) under uncultured fungus. Its description in RNAcentral is "eukaryotic LSU rRNA". The stretch from base 19 to 172 matches the Rfam family "5.8S ribosomal RNA". The record is from RNAcentral. Lineage: Eukaryota; Fungi.
UAUAACGCAACUAUAUACAACUUUCAGCAACGGAUCUUUUGGCUCUCGCAUCGAUGAAGAACGCAGCGAAAUGCGAUAAGUAAUGUGAAUUGCAGAAUUCAGUGAAUCAUCGAAUCUUUGAACGCACCUUGCGCUCCCUGGUAUUCCGGGGAGCAUGCCUGUUUGAGUGUCAUGGUAUCCUCAUCCUUCAUAACUUUUUGUUAUCGAAGGCAUGGACUUGGAGGUCGUGCUGGUUCCUCGUUGAAUCGGCUCCUCUUAAAUGUAUUAGCGUGAGUGUAACGGAUCGCUUCGGUGUGAUAAUUAUCUGCGCCGUGGUCGUGUAGUAACAUAAGCUUGCGCUUCUAACCGUCCUUAAGCUGGACAACAUAACUUUGACAUCUGACCUCAAAUCAGGUAGGACUACCCGCUGAACUUAAGCAUAUCAAUAAGCGGAGGAAAAGAAACUAACAAGGAUUCCCCUAGUAACUGCGAGUGAACCGGGAAAAGCUCAAAUUUAAAAUCUGGCAGCCUUGGCUGUCCGAGUUGUAAUCUGGAGAAGCGUCUUCCGUGC